Molecule: ribosomal RNA, 1413 nt
Filed under: Triticum aestivum (bread wheat)
Lineage: Eukaryota; Viridiplantae; Streptophyta; Magnoliopsida; Poales; Poaceae
Description: partial small subunit ribosomal RNA
Source: RNAcentral
AUGGACAAGCACGCCGCCGCCGACGCCGCCGCCGCCGCAGCAGCAGAGGACGUCGAGACGGGCGAGCACGAGCGCAAAGGGACGGUAUGGACGGCGACGGCGCACAUUGUGACGGCGGUGAUCGGCUCCGGCGUGCUGGCGCUGGCGUGGAGCGUGGCGCAGCUGGGAUGGGUGGCCGGCCCGCUCGCGCUGGUGGGCUUCGCGUGCGUCACCUACUACACUUCCACGCUGCUCGCCAACGCCUACCGCGCGCCCGACCCCGUCACCGGCGCCCGGAACCACACCUACACCGACGCCGUCCGAUCCUACCUCAGUCCCAGAGAGGUCUUCAUGUGCGGGAUCGCCCAGUACGGGAACCUGUGGGGCACCAUGGUCGGCUACACCAUCACCGCGACCAUCAGCAUGGUUGCGAUCAGGAGGUCGGACUGCGUGCACGAGAACGGCCAGGGCGCGCGCUGCGACGCGCCGGGGACCGUGCUCAUGCUGGCCUUCACCGUGGUCCAGGUGGUGCUGUCCCAGUUCCCCGGCCUGGAGCACAUCACGUGGCUCUCGGUCGUCGCGGCGGUCAUGUCGUUCGCCUACUCGUUCAUCGGGCUCGCGCUCUCGGUGACGGAGUGGGCGUCGCACGGCCUCCGACCGGACGGCAGGAUCGCAGGCGCCACUGCGGCGUCGUCCAGCAAAAAGACGUGGGACGUGCUCCUUGCCCUUGGGAACAUUGCCUUUGCCUACACUUUCGCAGAAGUGCUGAUUGAGAUCCAGGAUACGCUGAAGUCCCCACCAUCUGAGCACAAGACCAUGAAGAAGGCAGCAAUGUAUGGAAUUGGAGCCACCACCAUAUUCUACAUCUCUGUUGGCUGCGCCGGAUAUGCCGCAUUUGGUUCAGAUGCUCCCGGCAACAUCCUGACGGCCCCCGGAUUAGGGCCAUUCUGGCUCGUCGACAUCGCCAACAUGUGCCUCAUCCUCCACCUGAUUGGGGCGUAUCAGGUCUAUGCACAGCCCAUAUUCGCUACAGCAGAGAGGUGGAUUGUCUCCAGGUGGCCAGACACCAAGUUCAUCAGCAGUGCAUACACCGUUAGCAUCCCGCUCAUGCAACGAGGCUCGGUGACCGUCGCGCCCUACAAGCUCGUCUUACGGACCGUCAUAGUUAUUGCAACAACAGUGGUGGCAAUGAUGAUACCAUUCUUCAACGCGGUGCUAGGGCUCCUCGGCGCGUUCAGCUUCUGGCCACUAACUGUGUACUUCCCCAUAAGCAUGCACAUUGCCCAGGGGAAGAUCACCAAGGGGACGAAGUGGUAUCUCCUGCAAGGUUUGAGCAUGGUCUGCCUGAUGAUCUCAGUGGCAGUGGGGAUAGGCUCUGUGAGUGACAUCGUGGAUAGCCUCAAGGUCUCCACCCCUUUCAAAACUGUCAGCUAG